This is a long non-coding RNA of Engraulis encrasicolus (European anchovy), 397 nucleotides long. RefSeq lists it as uncharacterized. The record is from RefSeq and is a predicted model, not a curated record. The transcript is spliced from 3 exons. NCBI's taxonomy places the organism in Eukaryota, Metazoa, Chordata, Actinopteri, Clupeiformes, Engraulidae.
GUAACAUCUUACACAGAUCAGUGAAAAGUGAAGGUCUGCUGUCAACAGCCAAGAGGAGAAAGUCAUAUGUACAGCAGAGGUUUCCACAUAUCAAACCCAUUGAGUACCUUAUUGAUGGUACCCAAAGAAAAUGUGUUUAUGUGCCUCUUCUCUCGUCCUUACAGGAAUUGAUGAAAAAGCCGGAUAUUGCAGACAUUGCAUUUCAACCAAGAACCGCAAAUCCUGGGUUUCCACCAGACCUGCUGCAUGACCUCCUGGAAGGUGUAGUGCCUGUGGAGUUGGCCCUUUGCUUGCAAGGCAAUUCCUGUUGUACCGAUGGCCUCACCCCUGAAGUUGCGCGUCAUUUUGGCUGAUGACAACGCUGAAAUUCUUGUCUUGCCAUCUCGACCCAGUACAG